Molecule: non-coding RNA, 382 nt
Organism: Paramuricea clavata
Lineage: Eukaryota; Metazoa; Cnidaria; Anthozoa; Malacalcyonacea; Plexauridae
Source: the annotation of a GenBank genome assembly
GGUAAUUCCAUAUAGAAACUCCUUUGUUAAAUACAGUGUAUUUGCGAUAGUUUGUUCUCUUAUAGCUCACAUGUAACUUGGUAGAAUUUCGAGUAUUAUAGUUGUAUAGUUCGUUAUUUUGUUUGAAGUAAUCAUUAUAAAAGUCCGGGAAAUUUUGACAAUAAUUGAAGCGAUACAUGAAUAAGCUGCAUAGAUAAUCAUUAAUUUUGUAGAUAUCCAAGAUUUUCAAUUGUAAAAAUAUUGGUUCAGAAUGAUCCAUAUAAGAUUUAAAACAGAUUACUCGUACAAUUUUCUUUUGCACAUUUAGUAACUUUUGUAACCUUGUUGGGUAUGUACUUCGCCAAACUAGAUUUCCGUACGUGAGGUAUGGAUAGACCAAUGC